GCAUCCAACGCGUUGGGAGCUCUCCCAUAUGGUCGACCUGCAGGCGGCCGCGAAUUCACUAGUGAUUCGUAUUACCGCGGCUGCUGGCACGGAGUUAGCCGGAGCUUAUUCUCCCGGUACUGUCAUUAUCAUCCCGGGUAAAAGAGCUUUACAACCCUAAGGCCUUCAUCACUCACGCGGCAUUGCUGGAUCAGGCUUUCGCCCAUUGUCCAAUAUUCCCCACUGCUGCCUCCCGUAGGAGUCUGGGCCGUGUCUCAGUCCCAGUGUGGCUGAUCAUUCUCUCAAACCAGCUACAGAUCAUUGGCUUGGUAGGCCAUUACCCUACCAACUACCUAAUCUGGCGCGGGCUCAUCCAUCAGCGAUAAAUCUUUCCUCCAAAGAGAAUAUACGGUAUUAGCAAUUAUUUCUAAAUGUUAUUCCGUACUGAUGGGCAGAUUCCCACGUGUUACUCACCCGUCUGCCACUAAUUUAUUUAAAGCAAGCUCUAAAUAAAUCCGUUCGACUUGCAUGUGUUAAGCAUACCGAAAGCGUUCGUUCUGAGCCAUGAUCAAACUCUAAUCGAAUUCCCGCGGCCGCCAUGGCGCCCGCAAGCAUGCGAC
This 599-nucleotide ribosomal RNA is filed under the name uncultured Alphaproteobacteria bacterium. Its description in RNAcentral is "partial 16S ribosomal RNA". Lineage: Bacteria; Pseudomonadati; Pseudomonadota; Alphaproteobacteria. The record is from RNAcentral.